UKGGGGGGUCCUUAUUCAUGCAGUUCGAGCGGACGGAUGGGAGCUUGCUCCCUGAAGUCAGCGGCGYGYACGGGUGAGUAACACGUGGGCAACCUGCCUGUAAGACUGGGAUAACUCCGGGAAACCGGGGCUAAUACCGGAUAACUCUUUUCCUCACAUGAGGAAAAGCUGAAAGAUGGUUUCGGCUAUCACUUACAGAUGGGCCCGCGGCGCAUUAGCUAGUUGGUGAGGUAACGGCUCACCAAGGCCACGAUGCGUAGCCGACCUGAGAG
This 272-nucleotide ribosomal RNA is filed under the name Bacillus sp. (in: firmicutes). RNAcentral's name for it is "Bacillus sp. (in: Bacteria) partial 16S ribosomal RNA". It matches the Rfam family "Bacterial small subunit ribosomal RNA", at positions 41 to 298 of the family's 1533-position model. Lineage: Bacteria; Bacillati; Bacillota; Bacilli; Caryophanales; Bacillaceae. The record is from RNAcentral.